Long non-coding RNA from Neltuma alba, 277 nucleotides. RefSeq lists it as uncharacterized. The record is from RefSeq and is a predicted model, not a curated record. NCBI's taxonomy places the organism in Eukaryota, Viridiplantae, Streptophyta, Magnoliopsida, Fabales, Fabaceae. The transcript is spliced from 3 exons.
CUCUUCUCUCUCUUGCAUUGGAUCCAUGGGGGGAAUUCAGGCAAAACGAAUAUUUUAAUAGUCCAUGGCAUAUUACUCAGAGUAGUUUACUAAUGCUUUUAGGUGGCGCACUUGCUUUUCUUAUGGUCCUAACAGGGUAUGUUCUUGUCUCAGUAACUAGUGCAGUCACCGUUACAAUUGCUGGGGUUGUUAAGGAGGCUGUCACCAUAUUGGUUGUUGUCCUGUACUUUCAUGAUCAAUUUACUUGGUUGAAAGGACUUGGCCUCUUCACUAUCAU